RNAcentral lists this ribosomal RNA (1281 nucleotides) under Boana raniceps (Chaco treefrog). RNAcentral describes it as "Hypsiboas raniceps (Chaco treefrog) partial 16S ribosomal RNA". The stretch from base 122 to 194 matches the Rfam family "tRNA". The record is from RNAcentral. Lineage: Eukaryota; Metazoa; Chordata; Amphibia; Anura; Hylidae.
GGGCUUUUUCUAGUACGAAAGGACCGAAAAAGCAUGGCCUAUAACCCAUCAAGCCAUAUAAAUUACUAUUGUUCCCAACUUAAAUAGAAGUAAACCUACCACUUAUCUCGAUAAAAGAGAAGUUAACGUAGCAUAACCUGGCCUUGCAGAAGAUCUAAGCCCUUUUAAUAGAGGUUCAAAUCCUCUCGUUAACUUUGAACCUAACACCCCUCAUUCUCCCACUUUGUUUUAUUGUUCCUAUUUUACUCGCUGUUGCAUUCUUAACCCUUAUUGAACGAAAAACUCUUGGCUACAUACAACACCGCAAAGGACCUAAUAUUGUUGGCCCCACAGGACUCUUACAACCAAUCGCUGACGGUAUUAAACUAUUUAUUAAAGAACCAAUUCGUCCAGCCACUUCGUCACAAACUCUUUUUCUUUUAGCACCUACCCUUGCCCUAAGUCUAGCUAUAAUUAUCUGAACCCCCCUUCCUAUGCCUACCUCCUUUUCUGACAUAAACCUGGGCAUUAUAUUUAUCCUAGCUCUAUCAAGCCUCACAGUCUACACCAUUUUAGGUUCUGGAUGAGCCUCAAACUCCAAGUACGCACUUAUUGGCGCCCUACGGGCAGUUGCACAAACUAUCUCUUAUGAGGUCACCCUUGCUUUAAUUUUGCUCUGCACAAUUUUAUUAUCGGGUAAUUUCACCUUACAAAACUUUAAUAUUUCACAGGAGUCUAUUUGAUUUUUUAUCCCAAUAUGACCACUAGCCAUAAUAUGGUACAUUUCAACACUAGCCGAAACCAACCGAGCACCAUUUGACUUAACAGAGGGGGAGUCAGAACUCGUCUCUGGGUUUAAUGUAGAAUAUGCAGGGGGACCAUUUGCACUUUUCUUCCUAGCAGAAUACGCCAAUAUUCUAAUGAUAAACACCAUCUCAGCCAUUAUCUUUUUUGGCUCUUCUACUCUAAUCUUUUCCCUCUAUACAACAAUACUUUUAAUAUUUAAAGCCGCCCUACUAUCCAUGUUAUUCUUAUGAGUUCGAGCCUCCUACCCACGAUUUCGCUAUGACCAACUCAUACACCUAGUUUGAAAAAACUUUCUUCCCCUAACUCUCGCCCUAACCAUCUGAUUUAUUGCCCUCCCAAUUACUAUUCUACUUACCCCCCCCAUUACAUGGAAGCAUGCCUGAAAGAUAAGGACCUCCUUGAUAGGGAGGACAAUAGGGGUUCAAACCCCCUUACUUCCUUAGAAAAGUAGGAAUUGAACCUACAACUAAGAGAUCAAAGCCCUCCGUAAUCCAU